RNAcentral lists this unclassified non-coding RNA (335 nucleotides) under soil metagenome. Its description in RNAcentral is "partial contains 5.8S ribosomal RNA, internal transcribed spacer 2, and large subunit ribosomal RNA". The stretch from base 1 to 120 matches the Rfam family "5.8S ribosomal RNA", at positions 35 to 154 of the family's 154-position model. The record is from RNAcentral.
GAUGAAGAACGUAGCGAAACGCGAUAAGUAAUGUGAAUUGCAGAAUCCAGUGAAUCAUCGAAUCUUUGAACGCACAUUGCGCCCAUUAGCAUUCUAGUGGGCAUGCCUGUUCGAGCGUCAUUUCAACCCUUAAGCCCUGUUGCUUAGCGUUGGGAGCCUACAGUACUUUAGCUCCCCAAAGUUAGUGGCGGAGUCGGUUUCACACUCUAGACGUAGUAAUUUUUUCUCGUCUGUAGUUGAGCCGGUCCCCUGCCGUAAAACACCCAAUUUAUCAAGGUUGACCUCGGAUCAGGUAGGAAUACCCGCUGAACUUAAGCAUAUCAAUAAGCGGAGGA